RNAcentral lists this long non-coding RNA (205 nucleotides) under Musa acuminata (dwarf banana). Its description in RNAcentral is "long non-coding RNA (MACU_LNC010779)". The record is from RNAcentral. Lineage: Eukaryota; Viridiplantae; Streptophyta; Magnoliopsida; Zingiberales; Musaceae.
UUCUUGAAUGGACAAUAAUGCGUUUUGUGUCCAUGUUUACAACAAAAGUUGCAUUUGCUUUGGUGUUGAACAUAUAAGAUGGGGCCUUUUAUGAAGGUGGUUGGAUUUUGGUGAGGACUUCUCACAAAUCCAAUUUCACUUCUUUUGGGAACGUGACCCUUGUUUGCAAGGAUCAUGUUCAAUGACUUACCAACCUCAAAUUUCU